RNAcentral lists this ribosomal RNA (422 nucleotides) under uncultured bacterium. Its description in RNAcentral is "bacterial SSU rRNA". It matches the Rfam family "Bacterial small subunit ribosomal RNA", at positions 355 to 774 of the family's 1533-position model. The record is from RNAcentral.
UAAGGAAUAUUGGACAAUGGAGGCAACUCUGAUCCAGCCAUGCCGCGUGAAGGAAUAAGGCCCUAUGGGUUGUAAACUUCUUUUAGACGGGACAAAACCCCUUUACGUGUAAAGGGUUGAUGGUACUGUCAGAAUAAGCAUCGGCUAACUUCGUGCCAGCAGCCGCGGUAAUACGAAGGAUGCAAGCGUUAUCCGGAAUUAUUGGGUUUAAAGGGUGCGUAGGCGGACUAAUAAGUCGGUGGUGAAAGCCUGCAGCUUAACUGCAGAAUUGCCAUUGAUACUGUUAGUCUUGAGUACAGUUGAGGUAGGCGGAAUGUGUCAUGUAGCGGUGAAAUGCUUAGAUAUGACACAGAACACCUAUUGCGAAGGCAGCUUGCUAAGCUGUAACUGACGCUGAGGCACGAAAGCGUGGGGAGCAAACA